AAAAAAAAAGGCUACUCUUCUUCUUCUCAAGAUUUUUUUCCCCUCUUUCCUGUUUCUUCCUCUUCUUUGACCUUCUCCCUCUUCUCCCGUCUGUUUUCUUCGAUCAUUUCUUAUUAUAUUCUUCUCCACCGCCGCGACAUCGAUUCUCCUUGAUUCUCCCUUGCGUCGAUCCACCUUUUCUCUACGCCGUUUUCACUCUCCGGUGUCGUCAACACUUCUUAACUCCAUUCCCGUCUUUACAAAUUUUAGUUCAUCAAAUCCGAAUGAGUUGUUUGGCUUCAUGAAUCACGGCUUGGACUGCUUUUUCAACUCUCAAGCUUUUCUCAUCCACGAUCUCCUCUACAAUCUUAAUUUCUCAAGUGGACCUUGAUUAAUGAUUUGAUUUAGGUCCAAAAAUAAUACUUUU
Molecule: small RNA, 406 nt
Filed under: Arabidopsis thaliana (thale cress)
Lineage: Eukaryota; Viridiplantae; Streptophyta; Magnoliopsida; Brassicales; Brassicaceae
Description: ATSL263420
Source: RNAcentral